AAAUUUCUUUCUUUCUCUGUUUUCGUUCUUGUUCUAAGAAUUUCGGGGUCACAGCAAUUUUUCACUCUCCCUGAGCCUCAAGAACCUGCUUCCAUCGGCUGAAGAAGAAAGUGUUGUAAAUUUAUUUCUAAUUUUUUUUCGGAUUUCAUUUAAUUGUCGUUUCCUCUUGCUUUUCAGCAAAUUUAGGGUUUCAGAAUGCUUAAAAGAUAAGAUCGACCGCAAUGCCUUUGAAUUUGGGGUUUCAGUGAAUUUGCGGUGUCUAGGCUAAAAUAUCAUUCUUUCUAGGUUAAAACCAAACAAAGGAGGAGAGGAGAGUUUCGGGUUCGGGGUCACAGCAAUUCCUUCAUAUCGUCUGAAGAAGAAGAAGUUCUUCAGGAAGUGAAAAAGAGAAAGUUUAGGGUUUCAGAAUGAUCGAAAGUCUCAAAUGGGUGCUUGCUGCCAUGGAUCCAGAGCCCGGCCAGAAGUACUUUGAGCGCCACGUGCAACAUGUCCAAAACAGUUCAAGAAAGCCUGUGGAAAUCAACCGAGAACUAUUGGCGGAUGGCUUUGCUGUCGACACAGCUGGCGGAAAUGCUCACUCCUUAUGCAUUGGCGUUAAAGCCACAGGAGAGGAUAUUGUACAAGUAGUUAAUUCAAUUUCCCAGAGCCAGAAGUCCUAGCAAGAAAUAGAGGAGUCCUUUUCUACUGGUAUAGGCAGCAAAUCCAAGCCAUGCACAAAGCUUUUCAGCACUGCUGGUUGAUUUGAGAAAACCACAACCCUCCUUCACUAUGUUCCUGCUGGUUAUAAAGUUCAUUCUUAUUGACAGUGAGAUCUCAUAGUUGGUGUCCGUCUUAACUCUUCUUUGGCCAUGAAUAGGAAAUUUGUAUCUAUAGUUUAUGCGGGUAGGAAAAUAUGAAAUUUGUACCAAAUUUGUUUGUAUGCAACUUGUGUUUUAGUGUAAAUAUAUGAGAUUUGUCUUUUCAAUUGAUAUAUAAUGUCCUACUGCAAGGGUAAAGAAGUAAGUGUUCAAUGUAGAUCUACUUUUCUCUUAUUCUUUAAAAGAAAAAACACGAAAGAUAAAAGACCACAAUCACUCAAAGCAAUAGAAAUAAAAGCACAGGAAUGUCUGUUUUCAAACCAUCUUACAAGGCAUCAAGACACCCAUUUGUGCCAACAACCUCUCAAGUUGAUUAGAAUUCAAUUGGACAGGGGAAUUCCAUUGCAUGACACAAGUGUAUUAGAAUUCAGUUUCUGUUUGCACUGUGUUGCAAAAAUGGUCAAAGUGACACUAAUAUCAUUCAUCAUUUUGAUCUACACAUGGUGCAUGGUCAGAAUUAUCUACCUGCAAAUCUUAUGUGAGCGGGCUCUCUCUCUUCCCCCCCCCUCCCCCUCCUACGUGUUAGCCCAAGAAGGAUGGGUCUGUACAGAAGACACCUGGCAGGGACUGUCACCAGUUGCUUGAGAGUGCCAUGGAUUCUGCUGUGGAUGCUGAUGCUGUAGCUGCUAUUGUUGGUUGGUGGUGGAAAGUUGGUUGCUGGGGGUGACGGAAUGCUGCCAGUGUAUGAGUUGGCCCAAGAACUUGUUUUUGUUAUCUUACUUCCUUUUACCAUGGAAUCCAGAAGCAACGGAUGUUUUAUUGUGCAUUAGUCAGAAUGGGAAAACAAUUAUGGAUGCCACGUGGUAGUUGAUCUUUGGCGUUUUCUUAAAAUUAUUCAUGCGCAUGGAACCAUUUACUCACAUAAGAAGUUGAUUUUGUGGGCUCAGUUGCUCCCAGCAUUUCUAUGAAGUCUGUCAUGGACCAAUCAUGUUACGUUGGGUUGCCUACACUUCUUUAUUGCUAUGCGUGUGUGUCUACUUGUGCUUUCUGCUCUGUCUAUUAUUUGGUUUGGAUACGUACAAUCAGGUCACUGCCUCUUUUACUAUCUGUGAAUAUUGAUUUUACAAGUUUAUUGGCUUUCUUACGUAAUGAUGGAUCCCUUUGCAUGAAAUCCAAGUGAACCUUUGAUGCAUGCAUGGGUGCAUCGAUCAGUGUUUCCUUUGUUGACUAAUUUUUGUAGUCUUGCGUUUUUCUUGUUUCAUGCAACUACAGAAAGUGUGUCAUUCUGUUUUCAACUCCCAGGGUUGGCACCGACAUUCCAGGUGAUGUAGAUCCCACUCAGGGUGAAAACUGAUAACUCUUCUAGCUUGUUUGGUCGAUCUGUAUGUCUCUGUUUUGCUCAAAAAAUGAAUGUCUGUGUAUGUGUGGUGAUUUACUCUUCUUCCUGGAUUUCUGGAUGCAUGGGAACUUGUAUAAUCUGUUAUGGCACUUUUUGGGAGUUGAAACUCGUUGCUAUAUGCUUGACUGCAAAUUUGUCUACAUGCAAAUCCUACCUGGCUAGUCUCUGUGUGCGUGCGUGUGUGUGUGUGUUGGAUAAAGGUGAUACCAUUGAACCCAAUGAAGCCUUACCCAAUUUUCUUUCCACACUUUGCAUGUUCUUGUUCAUUUGCAAGGCUCAUCAAGGUGUUUUAAUUUUCUCUGGUAGCCAGUCCAUAUCUGGUACAGUUUGCCCCUAUUUUCACAUGUUCAUGAUUUCCAGUUGUUAAAUUUAUUUGAUGCAAAUGCUUGAAAAGAUGCUGCUCUAUUGUGUUGGCAUACUUUCCGUUAAUGUGAUUUACGUUAACAUAUUCCAUUGUACAAUUAUUGCUAUUUUAUUAUUUUACCCUUUUUGUUCCCUUAUGUUUUCAAAUGAUUUGUUUUACAUGGAACAAAAUGUUAAAUAACAUGGAAUAUACAAUUAUGUUAAAGUUGCCAAUAUUGCAUGUGCUAGAUUUUUUGUGGUUAUCGAAAUAAAUUGUUCUUAAUUGCAUCUUGUAAAACAAUGAUAGGUUUCUUUCUUUCUUUCUUUCUUUUUUGCUAAACUAUUUGCUUCUUUCCAGGUCAAACAAAUAAGAUUCAUGCUACCUGCUCUCUCUCUCUCUCUCAAGCGGUCUUUGCAAAACCAUAUUAGGGUUUCUGCCUCCAUAUUUGGAUCUGUUGUGGGCUUUUUUGCUUGUUUCUUUUCCUUUCACUCUCUUUAAAUCUUUGGUUGCUGGUUGAUGUCUUGAUUUGUUGUUUGGAUCUCCGUUAAUCUGUCAUUAUCUACUGCGGACACUUGCUAGGGAACUAGGCACCCUAAGGGUGGCUUGAAGAAGUGCUCUUCUUCAAGCAACAAAUGGGCUGCUUAUCAACUGGUUUAGGAAGCAAAUUGAAGCCAAGCAUGGAGUUUUUCAAUACUUCUGGUUGUCUAUUAUGGGGAACUGCCACUUCCUUCACUAUGUUCCUGGUGCUGGACAACCGACGGCAAGAUGUGAGGUCUGGUGGCUGACCAUAAGUGUUCUGAGUGCCACAUGCACAGUGGGCGGAGCAGUUCAAGAAAGCCUGUGGAAAUCGUUGUAUCCUCCAUUGAUGGUGGAUGCACUGGUAGUGGAGGUAUUGGUUUUGACAGUGAUGGCAACGGCUGACAUCUUCCCAUUUCAGUCUGCCUGGACCGGCCCCCUUCCUUUGAUCUUUUCCACCUCAACCGGUGGUAUAGUUUUUUUUUUUCUCCCAUGUUGGGUGUUUUUCUCUGUUCAAGUGUUUCUCAAACCUGAUCAGUGGCCAUGGGAAGGCAAGAGAAAAUUAUGAAUUUGAUUGAAUGAUCCAUUUCAGCCCAUCAAAGGCCAUAAUUUACUUUGCCAUUGUCCAUGCUGGAUGCUAUGGUUUCCCAGAUUAGGGUUUGUGAAAGCUUAGAAGAUACACCUCCUUCUGUACUUCUUUGUUAUUCAAAUUUAAUUUGGCAAAUCUAAACUUCUGAUGUCAACAGGGAUGCUGGAGACUCCUCUGUUCUCUUGGCUCUCAUUCAGCCUGGAAGGAAUCAACAGCUUCUCCAUACUUUCUGGUAAAUUGAGGGGGUGAGUCCAACACAGCGUAACCUGCAGUUCUCAUUUCUUGGAUUUUCUGGGUAAAUUAACAAAUUCUGCAUGGUACACGGUAAUUUCUUAGCAACUCCCUUGACCUACUAACUGGAAGUACUUAUAGGAGAUUUUGCAGUUAGCGUGUAUGUUGUAAUUUGUGAAUAGGACAAAAAGUUGCUCAAUGUUGCUUCUUCUUGUAUUUUUUUUGUUGAAAAUAAAACAAUAAAAAGAAAUACAACUAAGAUGAAAAAUUACAGAGCAUUACCACCAUAACCACUGCAUUUGGAUCUAUACCCACUUUGACGUAUAUAUCACCAUUACCUGUUUACUUGAGAUGAAGAUGAUGCUGUGCCAACAGCAAAAAUAGCAUUCUCCAAGUUUGUUCUUAGUGCCAACUAUCAACAUCAACUGCUCUCCUUUGCUGCUAGCCUGCUACUAUUUUCUCCCCCACCCAACAGAAUUUUACAUGAGGUGUCUCUUUGCUACCACCACUUUCUUUGGCUGUCCCUCCUCCAGCCUCAUCACUUGGUUUCCUCCGACACGACUUCAGCUGCAUCGCCAGCUAUUGAAAUGGCUGCUGUGCUGUAGCCGUUGCUCAACUGCAGAAUCUCUCACUUGUGGUGUUUCCACUGAGGUAAGGUCUCCUCUAUAUACCUUGUUCUCUUCUCCAGGUUGCUUCUUGUUGACAAUUUUCUCUUUCUUUAGCUUAUAGCUUUUUAUGGGCAUUUUUUAAUUGAUAAUGACAGAAGAAGUUUGUACUUUUAUGGUCUUGUACUUUUCCCUUUUGGAAUAAUUUUCCUUUAAGCCAAUAUUUUCUUUCUUUUUUUUUUUUUCCUGAUAAAUGCAAAGCCCAAAAAAAGUUCAUCUUGCCAAGGCAUAAAAUGCGAUACUUGUUUAGCCCAUUUAAUGUAGCCUCAUGCACUUGUAAGGAAGCUUGUGUCUAGCAUAUGGAGGCAUGCUUCAUCAAGUUGUUGAAAUAUUUUCCCCUAAACUGUCUUGGGAUUUGUAGAUCAAUACACAAAAAAAUGCUGCUUUGUGGUGAUUUUAUUUCGGUUACUUUAAACUGCAUCUAUUUGACCUAUACUGUGGUGGUUUACUGACUCCGACAAUUUAACUCUAUUAAACUUUUUGCGUUUGUUUAUGACGGCUUUGCCCAUAUUUUUGCAGCAGUUUUUAGCCUUGAGCAACUUUGUGGUGGUUUUUUUACUAAUUUAGAAAAAUUUUGAAUCUAGAAAUAGGGCAGAAGGGAGAAAGCACGAUUAGGGUAAAAAUUGAUUUGGCCUCACUCUGUCACACUCUUUAACGAUUUAUGAAUCCAACCUCACUCUCACUCUUUCUACCAUCGCCUGCCAUCCCCGGCAAAUAUCGGCAGCUGAGCCCUUCCGGAGAAGCGGCAGUUCUUUCACUCACAAAAAUUGUAGCCAGACCCUGACGCCAUACCUAGCCUUUUUUCCACCACACAACAUACCCUCAAUGGGGAAAAGAGAAAUGAAUGAAGCAAAUGACCAUGCCUCUGUCGCAACAGUAUUCAAGAAAUAGAAAAUUUGGUUCUGGUUAAGAUACCGGUCAAUAAUUUCUUUGGGCUUUAAUAUGUGUCUCUUUGUAAUUUUAUUUGAUGAAUCUUUCUUUCAUUCAUUUUGCUUUAGUUUAAUUAUUAACUUAUUUUGUAUUUGUUUCUAUACAAGUUCCUUCAGUUCAUUUUUUUUCUUAUUUUUAUCUUAGUAUUUGCUUUUCUUCAGUAUCUAAUUGCUUGGUUUGCAUUUUGUUGUUAUGUUGGUUGGCCCACUUUCUUCCGAAGUGUGGCUUCUAAUCUGAACAUGGACAUAUUAGAGAAGCUAAAUCAUCAUCUUGAAUAUCAUAAAAGUUGUGGUUGGGAAUCCCUUUAUAUAUUUACUGUUAUUUAAUGCUUUCUUUUUUUUUGGGAGAAUGAAGUUUUUGUCAAGCAUACAUAUUAUUUGGAAGAUGAAAUAUCAAAACUUACACAGCUUUGAGUAGUGGCAUCUGGAAUAUUAUUAAUUGGAUGUACCAUUGGGUAUACAUUUGGUUAAGUAAAUUUGUUUACAAAAUGGGCCAACAUUAAACUUUAAUGUUGGAACAAGGAAAAGCCAUCAAAUUUUAUUAUUAUUAGUAUUAGUAUUAUUUUUUCAGUAGGGUUGUUCUGAUCUUUAAUAGAAAAUGCAAAAGCUGGGCAUCCUUCACUUGUGUGAUACUUGCCCUCUAAACAGAUGAUGGUCCAGCUAAUUCAUCUGUUCCAUAUUUGUGUGUAUUUAGUUGUAAUUUGUUCUGAACAGAUGAUACAACUAUUCAACCCUUCAACAUCAUACACAUUCAUAUUC
Molecule: long non-coding RNA, 6228 nt
Organism: Diospyros lotus (date-plum)
Lineage: Eukaryota; Viridiplantae; Streptophyta; Magnoliopsida; Ericales; Ebenaceae
Exons: 8
Source: RefSeq, a predicted model, not a curated record